CCCCUAGAUGUUCUGGGCCGCACGCGCGCUACACUGAACAGUUCAACAAGUCUUAACCUUGGCCGAUAGGUCUGGGUAAUCUUUGAACGCUGUUCGUGAUUGGGAUAGACCUUUGCAAUUAUGGGUCUUCAACGAGGAAUUCCUAGUAAACGCAAGUCAUCAGCUUGCAUUGAUUACGUCCCUGCCCUUUGUACACACCGCCCGUCGCACCUACCGAUUGAAUGGUCCGGUGAAAUCUCGGGACGGCGGCUUGGUCGCUUGCGUCCGACUGCUGAAACUUGAUUAAACCUUACCAUUUAGAGGAAGGUGAAGUCGUAACA
This 320-nucleotide ribosomal RNA is filed under the name uncultured eukaryote. Its description in RNAcentral is "partial 18S ribosomal RNA". It matches the Rfam family "Eukaryotic small subunit ribosomal RNA", at positions 1470 to 1796 of the family's 1831-position model. The record is from RNAcentral.